This is a non-coding RNA of Misgurnus anguillicaudatus (oriental weatherfish), 1021 nucleotides long. Lineage: Eukaryota; Metazoa; Chordata; Actinopteri; Cypriniformes; Cobitidae. The record is from RefSeq and is a predicted model, not a curated record.
CUGUACACAUUAAUUAACUUAAACAGUUUUCGUAAAUGCCUUUCAGAGAAACGUGAAUUCUGAGAUUUGAAUAAUGCAUCUGACGUGUGGGAUGACGUCACGACGCACGUAUUUUGAUUUUUAACAGUCGUUCAAGACAGACGGAUUCAGUCCCAAGAAGCUAAAGUUUUUCAAAGACAUUUGUAGGGAGGACUUUGCAGCUAAUGAUUUCCUAAGGCUGAACCAAAACCUGCCAGACUAAAGUUGAUUUGGGAGAGAAAGACGUUGUAAACUUAAUCAUCUUGACAUUCUUCAAUGAGUAAUUGCUCAAUUUUUAGGCAAAUACUGUACACUUUGAAUGCUGUGAAUAAAACUAUAUUUUAAAUAUAUUUAAAAUGAAUUGUUUUUGACUGUUUUAAUCAGCUUUUAUUUAUUUGGAAAAAAUUAUUUUGGUUAUGUUACCAGCAAGUAAUCUAUUCCCAAAAUAGCACUCUUUAAGUUAACUAAUUAUUAACGCACUUGAAGUAUACUCAUUACUAAUCUAGCUGCAGGUAUGUAAAAGUAUACAAAAUGUAAUGUACUUGGCAUAUUCAUUUUUCACCAGGGCAGUUUUUAGAAUUUUGGAUUGGCCAAAAAUAUAUAGAAUGUAUGCAAACAGUCUAUUUAAGGUAUACUGAUUGUAUGUUUGCAAGACACUCAUAAUACAUUUGUAAUGUACUCCUAACAUAAAUAAAACACACUCUAAAUACACUUAUCAAGCAUGAAUUUAGCACAAAAACAGUCAUGUACUUAAAUUGUACUAAAUACACUUAAAGUUGUUCCACUUUAGCACACAAAAGUACACUAAAUACACUUAAAGUUGUACUUUGUUACAAUUAAUAUACAACUAAAAUAUAUUAAGUACAAAAUUAAUUGUUCCAAAAUAGCACUCUUUAAAUAAACUAAUCAAUAGCACACUUUAAGUAUACUGGUCAUUAGUGUGACUGCAAGUAUACUUAAGUAUAUCAAAAUUAAAUAUAUUUAGCAUACUAUUUUUUCACCA